Tinamus guttatus (white-throated tinamou) is the source of this 138-nucleotide non-coding RNA. The record is from RefSeq and is a predicted model, not a curated record. NCBI's taxonomy places the organism in Eukaryota, Metazoa, Chordata, Aves, Tinamiformes, Tinamidae.
ACCUCCAAAACUCACUGAUUUCCAGAGCAGAUGUCUUUUCCUUUCAUUUUCCAGUCAGCUCUACUGGCCGGAUUCAGUUUCCAAGAAACCUCAACUUGAACCAGUUACUUGCAGCUCAGCUGAUUUAAACAUGGUUUC